AAGUCGUAACAAGGUAACCGUAGGUGAACCUGCGGUUGGAUCAUUACUGAUUAAACUGACCUAGAGUGAGCUCUUUUAGAGAUCCUCUAGUGUCAAUAACACUUUGUGCACCUUUAUGUAUUUUGGGUCAUUGUCUUUUUUGACUUUGGCCCAGCAGUAUUAACAAACAUUUAUACUUUUGACUGAAAUCUCUAUGAAAAUAGAAACAACUUUUGACAACGGAUCUCUUGGCUCUC
RNAcentral lists this unclassified non-coding RNA (236 nucleotides) under fungal sp. RNAcentral describes it as "partial internal transcribed spacer region". The stretch from base 1 to 46 matches the Rfam family "Eukaryotic small subunit ribosomal RNA", at positions 1786 to 1831 of the family's 1831-position model. Lineage: Eukaryota; Fungi. The record is from RNAcentral.